AGGAUUAGAAUUUUUGAAACAGAAAAAGAUUAUUGCAAAAGAACAAAGAAAAGAAUGAUGUUUGGUAGUUGAAAGGCUAUUCGGUGAUGAUCCAUGCUUAGAGGGUGUUUUUAUUGGGAUAAAUUUAUUUGUUUUGGUAUUUCUUUUGGACAAAAAAGAAGAAAAAUAUUAAGUUAAACUUGUUUUGCUUGAUAAUUGUAUCUGUCAUCUCAUCGGGUGUUGAUCUUUUUGAUCUGUAAUGUUUACCAUUUUACUCCCC
Molecule: long non-coding RNA, 259 nt
Filed under: Gossypium barbadense (sea-island cotton)
Lineage: Eukaryota; Viridiplantae; Streptophyta; Magnoliopsida; Malvales; Malvaceae
Description: long non-coding RNA (GBAR_LNC017933)
Source: RNAcentral